GGACAGGUGCUGCAUGGCUGUCGUCAGCUCGUGUCGUGAGAUGUUGGGUUAAGUCCCGCAACGAGCGCAACCCUUAUCUUUAGUUACCAUCAUUAAGUUGGGGACUCUAAAGAUACUGCCCCGGUUAACGGGGAGGAAGGUGGGGAUGACGUCAAGUCCUCAUGGCCUUUAUGUCCAGGGCUACACACGUGCUACAAUGGGUUGUACAAAGGGUUGCGAACUCGCGAGAGUAGGCCAAUCCCAAAAAGCAACUCUUAGUUCGGAUUGGAGUCUGCAACUCGACUCCAUGAAGCUGGAAUCGCUAGUAAUCGUGGAUCAGCAUGCCACGGUGAAUACGUUCCCGGGCCUU
RNAcentral lists this ribosomal RNA (349 nucleotides) under uncultured Desulfobacteraceae bacterium. Its description in RNAcentral is "bacterial SSU rRNA". It matches the Rfam family "Bacterial small subunit ribosomal RNA", at positions 1032 to 1382 of the family's 1533-position model. Lineage: Bacteria; Pseudomonadati; Thermodesulfobacteriota; Desulfobacteria; Desulfobacterales; Desulfobacteraceae. The record is from RNAcentral.